UACGUUCCAGGAGGAUGCAUUGACAAAUUUACAAAACACGGCGUUUCUUAUAGAAGAAGGCUUGUGCAAAUAAGUAACAUAAGUCAUUUCUUACAAGGGCAAUACCAGCUUUGUAGUAAAUGGCGACACUGCCUCGGCUUCUCGUUUUUAAAAUAUUGUCAGCAUAAAGCAAAAGUAAAAGGGCUUCAAAUUGCUGUACAAAUUAUCCUAUAUAUUUUAAGUUUGGAUUUUGGAAGACGUUAAGAUUAUCGAACAACGAUGUUGAUGGUUUUUGGGACUUUUUCUAAAUGCCAAGUGGGUGAAGUGGGAAACCCAGAUUUACUACUCCAGACAUAGCAUGGUGCGGUGUAGUAUGUGCUUUUUGCAAGAAAAUAAACUUUUACACCUAAGCCUAUUAUAGAGUAAAGUUUACAUAAGUACUUAAAUUUAAGUGUUUGAUUUAUUACCGCUCGACUUCGAGCUGCUAAAGUAAUACAUUUUUAUCGCUUCGUCGUAAAGUAUUAUUAGCUAGUCCCGAUGACCAAAGACUUUAUGAAUGUUAUUAAAAAAGUGAUUGCAUUAACAGG
Schizosaccharomyces pombe (fission yeast) is the source of this 566-nucleotide non-coding RNA. NCBI's taxonomy places the organism in Eukaryota, Fungi, Ascomycota, Schizosaccharomycetes, Schizosaccharomycetales, Schizosaccharomycetaceae. The record is from the annotation of a GenBank genome assembly.